UAGGUAUUAGUUAAACAUAUAACCUUUAAAUUGCAAUUAAAUAUUACAUAUAAAUCUGUAUGCCU
RNAcentral lists this transfer RNA (65 nucleotides) under Tetraponera rufonigra. RNAcentral describes it as "tRNA-Ala". Lineage: Eukaryota; Metazoa; Arthropoda; Insecta; Hymenoptera; Formicidae. The record is from RNAcentral.